AGCUGCCUGUCGCUAGGAGCCCCGAGAGAGCAAGGCCUACACCGCCCGGCCGGAGCCCCGGCCUCGAUUGCACCACUUUCCCCCACCCCAGCGGGGAGACCCUGGAGGUCGCUAGAGCCCUCGCCACUCUCGGAACCAUAAUAAAAACAAGACGCUGAAGAGGCUACCACUGCGUGCUGGGAGAUGGGAUUGGGCCCUGAGAGAGCCAGGGGGAGGGGACGCCUCUCUGCUACCCGUCACCACCCGCCCGACCCCGCUGGCCCCACGGUGUCCGGCUCUGUCACCGCCGGCCUCCGGCUCCGAGGCCCCUUUUCUCCAUGACACCGAGGACUGGGGCUCGAGCUUCGCCUGGCCUUUGGCGAGCCUUGGUCUCCCCCCCCCCCCCGGCCAGCCCUCCCCCCAGUGCCCCCCGCACCUUUUAAACUACGCAGAGGAAGAGUUUGCCAACCAACUUAGUCAAACCGUAACCUCGUCCCCCUCCCCGACCCACACUGGUGGGGCAGGCAUCUGGAGGGACCACUUUGCACUUGGGAUAAAGCACAUUAAAGACCUGUCAACCA
Molecule: long non-coding RNA, 560 nt
Organism: Mus musculus (house mouse)
Lineage: Eukaryota; Metazoa; Chordata; Mammalia; Rodentia; Muridae
Product: predicted gene, 30025
Exons: 2
Source: RefSeq, marked validated